Molecule: ribosomal RNA, 463 nt
Filed under: uncultured bacterium
Lineage: Bacteria
Description: partial 16S ribosomal RNA
Rfam family: Bacterial small subunit ribosomal RNA
Source: RNAcentral
GAUGAACGCUGACAGAAUGCUUAACACAUGCAAGUCGAUGGGGAAGUGGUGCUUGCACCAUGGCAACCAUGGCGGACGGGUGAGUGACGCGUAAGGGACUUACCUGCAGGACUGGGAUAACAGGGGGAAACUCCUGACAAGACCGGAUAAUGUCAUGGAGCUGCAUGGCUUUAUGAUGAAAGGAGACGCCUGCGGAGAGCCUUGCGUCCUAUUAGCUAGUUGGUGAGGUAAUGGCUCACCAAGGCGAAGAUAGGUAGCCGGCCUGAGAGGGUGGACGGCCACAAGGGGACUGAGAUACGGCCCUUACUCCUACGGGAGGCAGCAGUGGGGAAUAUUGGACAAUGGGGGCAACCCUGAUCCAGCAAUUCUGUGUGCACGAAGAAGGUUUUCGGAUUGUAAAGUGCUUUCAGCAGGGAAGAAGUAAGUGACGGUACCUGCAGAAGAAGCGACGGCUAAAUACGUG